Molecule: ribosomal RNA, 468 nt
Filed under: uncultured bacterium
Lineage: Bacteria
Description: partial 16S ribosomal RNA
Rfam family: Bacterial small subunit ribosomal RNA
Source: RNAcentral
GACGAACGCUGGCGGCGUGCUUAACACAUGCAAGUCGAACGGACAGGCCCUGCUUUUGUGGGGUUCUCGAGUGGCGAACGGGUGAGUAACACGUGAGUAACCUGCCCUUGACUUUGGGAUAACUUCAGGAAACUGGGGCUAAUACCGGAUAGGAGCUCCUGCUGCAUGGUGGGGGUUGGAAAGUUUCGGCGGUUGGGGAUGGACUCGCGGCUUAUCAGCUUGUUGGUGGGGUAGUGGCUUACCAAGGCUUUGACGGGUAGCCGGCCUGAGAGGGUGACCGGCCACAUUGGGACUGAGAGACGGCCCAGAAUCCUACGGGAGGCAGCAGUGGGGAAUAUUGCACAAUGGGCGGAAGCCUGAUGCAGCAACGCCGCGUGCGGGAUGACGGCCUUCGGGUUGUAAACCGCUUUCGCCUGUGACGAAGAGUGAGUGACGGUAAUGGGUAAAGAAGCACCGGCUAACUACGUG